GCCACUGUGGGUACAUUCCUGAGGGUGACACGCACUUAUCCAUGUUGCCUCAAGCCUGUGGAAAACUAAACAGACACCCUCCGAUCAGUUUGCACAGUUUCAUUAAUUUUCUUCCUACCAUGAAGUGACAACAGAAAGGGUACAUUCGGAGAAAUAAUUGGGAAAUCCCUGACAGCACUGAAAGAGAGAGCUGUAGCUAGAAGGAGCCAGAAAGCCAAGGAACCACUUGACGGCUGCAGCGCUCAUCACCUCGGCAUAUAUAUGAAAAGUAGCUACGUUGAUCACCUGACCUCCCUUGGGCGUUAUUGAGCUUGAUGUCCAUCAGCAGGCUCCCCUUGGCUUCCUGGAGGGUCUCAAGCUUGUGGGUGAGGCUUCCAAUCAACUCCGCCUGGAACGAGAGGGGAGACGCAUAGCAAAACUUAGCCAGCUGACUGGUCCAUCUAUGUUGCUGCAAAUGGCAUUAUUUCGUUCCAGUCUAUGUCUUUUGGUUGGAGCAUCGAAUCCAUUUACAUUUAAGGUAAUUAUCAACAUGUAUGUUCUUAUUGCCCUUUUGUUAAUUGUUUUGGAUUUGUUUUUGAAGAUCUUUUUUCUUCCCUUCCUCUUUUGUUCUCUUGUGAUUUGAUAUCUAUCUUUAGUGUUGUGUUUGGAUUGCUUUUCUUUUCUGUGUGUGUAUCUACUGUAGAUUUUUGGUUUGUGGUUCCCAUGAGGCUUUGAUAUGGCAGUCUAUAUAUGUGCAAGACUGUUUUAAGUUGCUGGUCUUUUAAUUUGAAAUGCAUUUCCGAUAUCCUGCAUUUGUACUCUCCUCACGAUUGCUGGUUUUGAUAUCAUAUUUGUGUGUGGAUGAUUUCCUACCUUUAUGUUUGCCUUUACAUACCGUGAGCUUUCCCAUUCAUAAUUUUCUUGAUUCUAGUUGUGGCCUUUUCUUUACUGCCUAGAGAAGUUCCUUUAGGAUUUGUGGUAAAGCUGGUUUGGUGGUACUGAAUUCUCUUAGCUUUUGCUUGUCUGUAAAGCUUUUGAUCUCUCCAUCAAAUCUGGAUGAGAGCCUUGCUGGGUAGAGUAUUUUGGGUUGUAGGUUCUUCCCUCUCAUCACUUUAAAUAUAUCAUGCCACUCCCUUCUGGCCUGCAGUUUCUGCUGAAAGAUCAGCAGAUAAUGUUAUGGGGAUUCCCCUGUAUGUUAUUUGUUGCUUUUAGUAUUUUUUCCUUUGUCUUUUUUUGUCAGUUUGAUUAAUAUGUGUCUGAGCAUGUUCUUCUUUGCAUUUAUCUUCUAUGGGACUCUCUGCUCUUCCUGGACUUGAGUGCUUCCUUUCUCAUGUCAGGGAAGUUUUCAGCUAUCAUCUCUUCAAAUAUUUUCUCAGGCCCUUUCUCCCUUCUCCUUCUGGGACCCAAAUAAUGCAAAUGUUGGUUUGUUUAAUGUUGUCCCAGACGUCUCUGAGGCUGUCCUCAUUUCUUUUCAUUUUUUCUUUAUUCUCUUCAGCCGCAGUGAUUUCCACCAUUCUGUUUUUCAGCACGCUUAUUCAUUCUUUUGCCUCAAUUAUUCUGCUAUUGAUUCCAUUUGGUGUAUUCUUCAUUCCAGUUAUUGUAUUGUUCGUCUCUGUUUCUUUGUUCUUUAAAUCUUCUAGCUCUUUGUUAAACAUCUCUUGUCUCAUCUUGAUCUGUGCCUCCACUCUUUUUCUGAAAUUUUGAAUCAUCUUUGAUAUCAUUACUCUGAAUUCUUUUUCAGGUAGGUUGCCUAUCUCCACUUCAUUUAGUUGUUCCUGUGGGUUUUUUUUUAUCUUGUUCCCUUGUCUGGAACAUAGUUCUCUGCCAUCUCAUUUUGCCUAAUUUUCUGUUAUCUGUGGUCUCCUUCCCACUGGCUGCAGGAUCAUAACUCCUCUUGCUUCUGGUGUCUGCCGUCUGGUGGAUGAGGUUGGUCCUGGGGCUUGUGCAGGCUUCCUGGUGGGAGGGACUGGUGCCUGCCCACUGGUGGGGGGAGCUGGGUCUUGUUCCCCUGGCGGUCAGGGCCAUGUCAAGGGGUGUUUAGAGGUGGCUGUGAGCUCACUACACAUUUAGGCAGCCUAUCUGCUGGGGGAUGGGGCUGUGUUCCUUUCCUGCUGCUUGUUUGGCCUGAGGUGUUCCAGCACUGGAGGCUGUAGACUGUUGGGUAGCACCAGGUCUUGAUGCCAAAAUGGCGACCUCCCAGAGAGCUCAGGCCGAUCAUUAUUCUCUUGGACCUCUGCCACCAGUGUCCUUGCUGCCCGCAGUGAGCCACAGCUGACCCCUGCCGCCCAGGAGACCCUCUAAGAUUCGUAGGUAGAUCCAGCCCAGGCUCCUGUGGAGUUACUGCUUUGUUUUGUGUCCCAGUGUACGUGAAACCUUAUGUGCACCCUCCAAGUGUGGAGUCUCUGUUUCCCCCAGUCUUGUGGAGCUCCUGCACAUGAGCCUGCUGGCCUUCAAAGCCAAAUGCUCUGGGGGUUCCUCCUCCCGAUACCAGGCCCUCAGGCCGGGGAGCCUGACGUGGGGCUCAGGACUCUCACUCUUACGGGAGAACCUCUGCGAUAUAAUUAUUUUCCAGUUCGUGGGUCCCCCACACAGUGGGUACAGGAUUUGAUUAUGUCGCGAAAGCGCCCCUCCUACCAUGUUGUUGUGGCUUCUUCUUUGUCUUUGAACGUAAAGUAUCUUUUUUUGUAGGUGCCAGUCUUCUUCGCCGAUGGUUGUUCAGCAGUUGGUUGUGAUUUUGGUGUUUCCGUGAGAGGAGGUGAGCUCAUCCUUCUACUCUGCCAUCUUUUUCAGAAAUGAGGAGCUGCUUUUAGUUUGGAUGCUUGCUGUCUCUUUCCUCAGCAUGCGCUGGCCGUUACCCCCUUGACACGAGGUGCGCAGGUGCAGUGGUCCUUGUGCGCUCCCAGGACGGCAGGGUCAGCGCUUGGCACCUGCCCUGUUUUGGUUUUCAAAGACAUCAACAGUGGCAGAAGAACCAGAAGCCUGUCUGUACAGGAGCUGAUGUGUACUCUGGGCUUCAGGGGACAAGGAAAGGACAGAAUAAGAUGAAAAUGUCUAGGGGUGAUACAGGGAGGUUGCUGUGGGAAGGACCAGUAUACAUUUCGCGGCAUUCUGACUUCUGAAAGCUUGUUGGCUGGGCUGUAAACGUCAUACAUCACGGCUCGGCGUAUCUGCUAAUACCAGUAUUACUGAGCAGUCACACCAGUCCCUCCUGGCUCAAAGCUUGUACGUUUGGAUAGUAUUUGAAUUUUUCACAUUUACCAAGCCCUUAAAAUAUGGAGAUUUGGAUUUUAAAAUGUAGUUAAGAGGGAUGUGAGUAACUGAAGGCAGCAAGGGAAAGUUCGCUGUGUUAAACAGCCAUUUCUAUGUCAGGCAGAUCUCUUAAAAAAAAAAAAAACACGAAAAAACUACCAACUUACACCCAUAGAAUUCAAUGGGGAGAGAGAAGAGGUGUUUCGAUUUAAAAAAAUAACUAACUUAUUAGUCUCUCAGGAGCUAAUUAAUUUGCAAAAUCAUUGCCAUGUAUCCACUUCUUAUCUGGCAGAAACUGUUAACUCACCCUACGUGAGCUGCUACUUAUAAGGGUUCUCUCUGUAAACAUGGCUUAACAGAUCCUCCCUCGCACCCCACCAUCUGCAUGCAGAAAUCUUGCUGGGUCCUGUCCCACCUCCUCCCUGCUCCAGCACCAGCUCCAACGAACACUGGACCAGGAGUCAGGAGACCCAGCUGACAGAAAGCUCACCGUCAGGCCAGUCCCCUGACCUUUUGUGUCUGUUUUCUCAUCCACUGCAAGGGCAUCCUAAUGCCUGCCUAAAACUAAUAAUAAUGUUUAGUUACAGCGCUCUCUGUCUGUGCCAGGCACUAUUUAGGUGUUUUCCUGUUCACUUACUGCUCACAACAACCCGAUGAGACGGGUACCGUUACUAUCCCCCUUUUGCGGAUGAGGAAAGGGAAGCGGAUGGAGGUUCUGUCACUUGCCCAAGCCCAGGCAGCUAGAAAGCGGCAGCACCGGGCUUUAAAUCCAGGUCCUCCAGCUGCAGGGUUCAGGCUUCUGAUCACUACAUUAAAACGGCUCAGAGGAGUGUUGUGAGGCUCAGCUAAGAUAAAGCGUGUGCGAGCACUCUGGAAAUUACAAAAGUAUUAUACACAUCCAAGUUGUUAUUAAGAUGAGGCAACACCUGGAAGAACGCACACCAGUCAUUUGGGUAGAUGCCCCAGGGGAACAUACCCAACCCGCCCCCCCCCACCCCCAACACUGCUUUGUCUUCUGGGAGGACUUGUGCUCACAGGGUUGCCAGUAACAUCACUACACGCACAGCUGGCCUCGACUGAUGGCCUGUCUUGAUCUCAACAGAGUAAUUCAGGACCCUUAGCCGCGUGGCUAGAGUUUGGGGCCAGAGUGGAGUUCAGGCUCCGCUGGUAAAAACUGGGACUAGAUAAAGACAUUGAGUGUGAGGACCCAGGCAGCAGCAUGUGACUGUUUUCUUUAGCUGCAUUUCACCCCAUAGAGAAGUCAGGGGCAGUUUCUGUCCUGAGAAAACCUGCAUCCCACGUUGUGGGACCUAUCAAAGCAGAAAGGUUGCGGGGGCCUGACUGCCACUUCAGAUAUUCUCUAGCACAUUCUCUGUCAGGAGUGGUUCUCAUUUCCUCUCGGGAAGGCUUGUGACCAGAGAGUUGUUCAGUCUCUUGGUUCUGGGCGACAGGAAUCUCUGACAUACAAGAAACGUUAUUAAAUUUCUUUAAAUUCGACAAAACAUCCUCCUCCCUCCCCGAACGACCUCCUUGUUUUUCCUAUGUCUGUUACCACAGUCACCGAGGCCAGGAACUCGGGAGCCAGCCCUCCUCCUUCCUCUCUCCCAUGCUCCGUGUCCAAUCUGCUACCGGAUUCUGUCUCUUUCGCUUCCUUUAAAAAAAAAACCUAAAUCCAUCUGUUUCUCACUGCUCCUACCGCAGCUCCCUUAGGCCCGCCUCGUUGCUUCCAGGCCCAGGCGGCUGUAACUCCCUCCCCACUACCCCCCCCCCCCCCCCCCCCCCGUCUUGCUGCAUGCACAGCUUCCCUAAAUGUAAAUCCGCCGCAUCUCCCUCCCCGCUGGUAAACCCCCGGGAGAGGGACUGAUGGUGGCCAGAUGGCGGGAGCCCACGCCAGCCUCUCUCCCCUCCCUCCUACAGCGAACACCCCUGGACCCUGAAGAGGGCUCUGCAAGGUUAGCUGUGGCAGUGCGCCGGGGAGGGGAGCCACGCCUGAAGUACGACCCAGAACAGGGGUGAGUUUCCUGCUUCUCCCCCUUUCAUGUUCUGGUUCUGCCCUGGAAAUAGCCUCAAUGCUGAACUGCACAGAGGGUGUGGCAGCAAAAAUGCUGCUUUCGGUGAGGUAAAGCAGGUGGGGGAAUCCUGUUUCUUCCUCUUCCCUCUCUCCUUUUUUUCCCCCCCUUUCCCAGCCCUGCCCCCCAAAGUGACUCUCCUUGCAGAGUGCACGGUGCAGUGGUGGCACAGGCACUUAACACCCCAAGAGAACACCCUUCUUUCUGUCCAGAGGAACGGGGACAACGACCCCAUGGACCGAAGAGUGUGAGGGGAAUCCGCACUAUUUUUCUCUACUGAGGAUAGUCCCAGCUAUGCAGAAUGGCGCGGCCGUGCAGGCUGCCGUGACACCACAAGAACUUGUCCUAUUUCUAGCCAGAGGCCCAGGUCCGGGCUCACCCUCAAGCUGCACGUGUGUGGGACAGACCCAAAGAAGCACGGCAACGGCUUUGAGAACUGAACUGUGACAGAACAACUCACCCAAGUCCCAGGCUCAGCCCUGAAAGGUGCCUGUGUAGGACAGUCACAUAUAAGGCAGCAGAGGCUCUGAAAACUGAACUGACACUGGAACCAACAGCCAGAGGUGGGACAGAACUUGUAGCCUGAACCUAACUAGGCUGCCUGCUAAAACAAAACAAAAAAUCAACCUUCUUCAGAGGAUUUUUCACAGAACCCAAGACUUACACCAUAACACUCAAAAUGUUCAGGUACAAUAUUACCCAGCAUGAAGAGAACCAGUAAAAUGUGAACAGCUCUCAGGGGAAGACAACCAACAGGUGCUAACCCUGAGAUAACCCAAACGGGACGAUAAAAGCCUUUAAAAUAGCUUUUGUAGCUAUGCUCCAUGGUGGAAGUAAACACUCUUGAAAUGAACAGACAGACACUAAAAAAAAAUGAAUGGAAAUUUUAGAACUGGAAACUAUAAUAUCUGAAAAUUUAAAAAAAAUCACUGGCAGAAUAGAGACAGGAAAGUCAGUGAAACUGAAGACAGAUCAAUAGAAAUUAUCCAAUCUGAAUGAACUGACAGAAAACAUUAAAAAACAUGAACAGGACUUCCCUGGUGGUGCAGUGGUUAAGAAUCCACCUGCCAAUGCAGGGGACACGGGUUCGAGCCCUGGUCCAGGAAGAUCCCACAUGCUGCAGAGCAACUAAGCCCUUGCGCCACAACUACUGAGCCCGAGCACCCUAGAGCCCACAUGCCACAACUACUGAAGACUGCGCACCCUAGGGCCUGCGAGCCACAACUACUGAAGCCCGCGUGCCUAGAGCCCGUGCUCCGCAACAAGAGGAGCCACCGCAGUGAGAAGCCCGCACACCGCAAUGAAGAGUAGCCCCCGCUCGCCACAACUAGAGAAAGCCCGCGUGCAACAACAAAGACCCAAUGCAGCCAAAAUAAAUAAAUCAAAAAUAAAAAGCCCUAAAAAAAAAUGAGCAAAGUUUCAGAGAUUUGUAGGACAAUAUCAAAAGGUCUAACAUUUGUGUCACUGGAGUCCCAAAAGGAGAGAAAGAGAUUAGCACAUAAAAAAAUAUUUGAAGACAUACUGGCUAAAAACAUCCUGAAUUUAGUGAAAGACAUAAGUUUACAGAAUCAAGAAGCUUAGUAAACCCCAACAGGAUAAAUCAAAGUUAGGCCCAUACAUAUCAUAACCAAACUGCUGAAAAUCAAAGAUAAAAAAUUUGAAAGCAGCCAGAGAAAAGCAACACAUUGCAUGUAGGAGAAACAAAUAUUCAACGGCUGUGCGUUUCUCAUCAGAAACCCUGGAAGCAAGAAGAAAUGGGACAUUUUUAAACUGCUAAAAGAAAAAGAAUAGUCAACCCAGAAUUCCAUAUCUAGUAAAAAUUCUUUAGAAAUGACAACAGAAUACAGACAUUCUUAGAUGAAGGAAAACUUAAAGAAUUUGUCACCAGCAGACAAAUGCUUCAAAAAAGAAAUGCUAAAGGAAGUUUUUCAGGCUGAAAAGCAGACAGACCAGAGGAAAACUUGAAACUUUAAGAAUAAAGCAGGAGCGACGGAAAUAGGCAGCUGAGAACCAUGUGGCUCACUAAUGAUCUCUUGGGGAAAGCCAGUUCUGAGGAAUAACAGAUUUUUUUGCCUUUUGAAAUAUUCCACUAAGUCUCUAAGCCAAAGCCUUUUGGCCUUCAGAAUAGAGAAUCAUGAGAUCUGGUUAAGCAGAUUUUUGCCCAAUAGAUAUGGCAGGGUUUAGCCAAAGAAUUGAAAGCCCUAAGUAUUAAACAGUCUUUAGAUUUUAUGUAUGUCAGAAGUUCAGAGAGUGAUUGUUUUAUAUUUUAAGUAAUACUUAUAUUUACUUGGAAUAUUACAAUUCAUCAUCUAGGACAUAUAAAUAAAAAGUAUAUUAAAGUAAAACUGAUUGGAAAUGCUAGUUUCAAAAUAUUAAUAAAUCAGGAUUCUAGUUUCCAUUCACUCUUAGUUUCACGCGUAGAAAUACAUCUUAGGUUUACUAACUUUAAACAUUAGGCAACAAAUUAUUACUUUGCAGAAGUUGGUAGAAGGCUACACUCUGCCUUAGAACCAUCCUGACCAAGCAUCUUUUUUUUUUUUUUUUUUUUUUUUUUUUUUUUUUUUUUUGCGGUACGCGGGCCUCUCACUGUUGUGGCCUCUCCCGUUGCGGAGCACAGGCUCUGGACGCGCAGGCUCAGCGGCCAUGGCUCACGGGCCCAGCCGCUCCGCGGCAUGUGGGAUCCCCCCGGACCGGGGCACGAACCCGUGUCCCCUGCAUCGGCAGGCGGACUCUCAACCACUGUGCCACCAGGGAAGCCCCAAGCAUCAUGUUUUAAAACCAUCCUUAGGGAAAAUAAAAGCUUGUUAGAGAACUAACAAGCUUUAGGGAAGAGAACUGCAUUUGGGAAGAGAACUGCAUUUUCAACUUCACACUGAAUAUAUUAAUAGAUGCCUUCAACAACAUCAAUUAAAGCCUGCAUAUUUUCUCUCUUUCCAGAUCAGAUAUGUAAAUGCAAGUGACACACAAAUUCUAUUACACGUUAAUAAACCUGUAGUUGCUUAAAACAAAAAGUCUCAUAGGGUUCUCCACUACCACACGGUAAAAUCCAAACUCUUUGGCAUUUCAGACAAAGCCCCACGUGACCUCCAUGACCUGCCCCCGUGGAUCCCCCCAGCCUUGUCUCCUGCCAUUCAUGGCCUUUCUUUGUUAUUCUCUAAAUUUGGUAAUUUCUAAUUUAAUCAUGAGAAUUUAUUUUAUAAUACAUUCCCAAAUAUCAGA
This is a long non-coding RNA of Orcinus orca (killer whale), 8516 nucleotides long. RefSeq lists it as uncharacterized. Lineage: Eukaryota; Metazoa; Chordata; Mammalia; Artiodactyla; Delphinidae. The record is from RefSeq and is a predicted model, not a curated record. The transcript is spliced from 5 exons.